GUCUGGUAGGGCUCUAACUCGCGACGCCCUUGCCUCGAUCCUGAUCUGCGACAGCAGCAGCCGACGACGAUGGCUUUUGCAAAAAUAGGGGGUAACAACAGAGCGUGAGAACUACUGUAAAAACAGGUAGUCCUCAGUGGGUGCCACCAUCAACAAUAUCGGUUCACCCACUAAGUCUACAGAAGGGAGCAAAGAUAGUAGUAAAUGCAGGAAUAAAAUCUACCACUAUGAAUCAUUACACUAUCAUGCUCUACACUAACCAACUGUAGGAAAUGUCAAAUCUGACCCAAUCCAAUCGGGACUGUAGGCCUACCCGUCCCUGGGACUGUGAACACACCCGUCCCUGCCCAGUUGUGACUAUCCAGCUACCUCCACACUACUAGUCCGUGGAGAGCAAGUCCAAUCGGUAUGAGCGACACCAACGCGAAAGCACAGCGCCCGUCUCCGGAGUGGCACUCGUGGAAGCUACCCAACUGAGUAUGCAGCUAUCUCUGUCGAGCUCAAUCAGGCUCUCAAAAGCCAAAGUCCAGUGACCGACUCAAACUGGUCUAAUAACCAACAGGUAACGUGCCUUUGGCACAAUCCAACGCCAAGAAAGCGAUACGGGUCCACCGUCAACCCCGACGGCACCCAACAGUCCGGAACAGCCUAAACGCUAUUUUAAAAAAUUCACUCGGCAUCCCCGCACGAGUAUAACUGAAAUCUAAACUACCUGAAAUUCUCAAUAUGAUGAUACUGCAACAGUAUAAAAUCAUACAACGGCCCCUAGGGCUAAAUCAGGUAGUUUAAC
RNAcentral lists this long non-coding RNA (790 nucleotides) under Ananas comosus (pineapple). RNAcentral describes it as "long non-coding RNA (ACOM_LNC010580)". The record is from RNAcentral. Lineage: Eukaryota; Viridiplantae; Streptophyta; Magnoliopsida; Poales; Bromeliaceae.